RNAcentral lists this ribosomal RNA (443 nucleotides) under uncultured bacterium. Its description in RNAcentral is "partial 16S ribosomal RNA". It matches the Rfam family "Bacterial small subunit ribosomal RNA", at positions 338 to 795 of the family's 1533-position model. The record is from RNAcentral.
CCUACGGGAGGCUGCAGUGGGGAAUAUUGGGCAAUGGGCGCAAGCCUGACCCAGCAACGCCGCGUGAAGGAAGAAGGCUUUCUGGUUGUAAACUUCUUUUCUGAGGGACGACGAAAGUGACGGUACCUCAGGAAUAAGCCCCGGCUAACUACGUGCCAGCAGCCGCGGUAAUACGUAGGUGGCAAGCGUUAUCCGGAUUUAUUGGGUGUAAAGGGCGUGUAGGCGGGAAAGCAAGUCAGAUGUGAAAACUCAGGGCUCAACCCUGAGCCUGCAUGUGAAACUGUUUUUCUUGAGUGCUGGAGAGGCAAGAGGAAUUCCGGGUGUAGCGGUGAAAUGCGUAGAGAUACGGAGGAACACCAGUGGCGAAGGCGGAUAGCUGGACAGUAACUGACGCUGAGGCGCGAAAGCGUGGGGAGCAAACAGGAUUAGAUACCCUUGUAGUC